Long non-coding RNA from Trichosurus vulpecula (common brushtail), 473 nucleotides. RefSeq lists it as uncharacterized. The record is from RefSeq and is a predicted model, not a curated record. The transcript is spliced from 3 exons. NCBI's taxonomy places the organism in Eukaryota, Metazoa, Chordata, Mammalia, Diprotodontia, Phalangeridae.
GAUCUCGGAGGGAGCUGUCCCCUCUCUUCCUCCUCCUCUUCCUCCUCCCCUUCCUCCUUCUCUUCCCCCAUCCCCUGCAACCAACCAGCCUACUUCUCCAACUCCCAGCCACUUCAGUCACCUGGAAGCAAGGCCAGGGACUUGAGGCUGAGCCGGCUGGCACCGUCCCCUGUCUGAGGAGGCCCUGGAUUAAUGGGAUCAGGAGAGUGACCACAUAGAACCUUGGAAUCAUGGUCUCACAGGGACAAGCGGGAGAAUGGGUGAAAGCUCUUACCUCUGCUCUGGAGUUACCAUGGUUCAGAAAUGACAUUGCAAUCUAGGGGUGCCAUGGACCAUGCUGCUCCAGGUGACCAUCACCCCUCUUCACUCCGACUUCACUUGCACAUCAUGGCAUCACCUCCCUGAUGUCAGGGUCCUCUUCGAGAAUGAGACACAAACAAAAGAAGCUCAAUGAAGAAGGAAAUGGCAAACCA